AACUUUCAACAAUGGAUCUCUUGGUUCUGGCAUCGAUGAAGAACGCAGCGAAAUGCGAUAAGUAAUGUGUAUUGCAGAAUUCAGUGAAUCAUCGAAUCUUUGAACGCACAUUGCGCCCCUUGGUAUUCCGAGGGGCAUGCCUGUUCGAGCGUCAUUAUAACCCCUCAAGCUCGGCUUGGUGUUGGGGCCUGCCGCACGGGCAGCCCUUAAAAUCAGUGGCGGUGCCAUCUGGCUCUAAGCGUAGUAAUUCUUCUCGCUAUAGAGUCCCGGUGGAUGCUUGCCAUUAACCCCCAAUUUCAAUGGUUGACCUCGGAUCAGGUAGGGAUACCCGCUGAACUUAAGCAUAUCAAUAAGCGGAGGCU
Molecule: unclassified non-coding RNA, 362 nt
Filed under: uncultured Helotiales
Lineage: Eukaryota; Fungi; Ascomycota; Leotiomycetes; Helotiales
Description: sequence contains ITS2
Rfam family: 5.8S ribosomal RNA (bases 1-154)
Source: RNAcentral